Molecule: ribosomal RNA, 495 nt
Filed under: uncultured bacterium
Lineage: Bacteria
Description: partial 16S ribosomal RNA
Rfam family: Bacterial small subunit ribosomal RNA
Source: RNAcentral
GACGAACGCUGGCGGCGUGCCUAAUACAUGCAAGUAGAACGCUGACGGCGGAGCUUGCUUCUCUGGAUGAGUUGCGAACGGGUGAGUAACGCGUAGGUAACCUGCCUGGUAGCGGGGGAUAACUAUUGGAAGCGAUAGCUAAUACCGCAUAAUAUUGACUACUGCAUGUUAGUCAGCUGAAAGUUACAACUGCACCACUACCAGAUCGACCUGCGUUGUCUUAGCUUAUUGGUGGGGAAACGGCUACCCACGGCGACGAUACAUAGCCGACCUGGGAGGGGGAUCGGCCACACUGGGAGUGAGACACGGGCCAGACUGCGACGGGGGGCAGCAGUAGGGAACCUUCGGCAAUGGACGGAAGUCUGACCGAGCAACGCCGGGUGAGUGAAGAAGGUUUUCGGGUCGUAAAGCUCUGGUGUAAGGGGAGAACGAGUGUGAGAGUGGAAAGCGCACACUGUGACGGUAUCUUACCAGAAAGGGACGGCUAACUACGUG